UGCUUUGGCAAUGUUAACAUAUGUUUCCCAUGCCAAUAAAUCCCCUUGAAUUGAAUUGAGAAAGAGAGAGAGAGAGAGAGAGAGAGAGAGGGAGGGGGGGCGCGGUAUGGAUGGCAAUGUGAAGGAAUGAGGAGAGAGGUCACAGGGCGAUGAAAAGGGGAGGGAGAGGAAAGGGGGAGGACAGGAGCAGAGAAAAGAGAGGGGGAUUACAGUAGAAGAGAAGAGUAAGAGUGUGAGGUGGAGGAGAGAGGGCAUGCCUCUACUGGUGUGGCUCCUUAACACACGAUUCCUUCAGCUGACGUAACCCAUCUGCCCUGCACCUUUCAACACAUCUGGACAGUUUUAUUGGAGUGAUCCCCAGCUCUCUGUCUGUCUGUCUGUCUGUCUGUCUGUCUGUCUGUCUGUCUGUCUGUCUGUCUGCCAGUAUGUCUGUCUGUCUGUCUGUCUGUCUGUCUGUCUGCCAGUAUGUCUGUCUGUCUGUCUGCCAGUAUGUCUGUCUGUCUGUCUGUCUGUCUGUCUGUCUGUCUGCCAGUAUGUCUGUCUGUCUGUCUGUCUGUCUGUCUGUCUGUCUGUCUGUCUGUCUGUCUGUCUGCCAGUAUGUCUGUCUGUCUGUCUGUCUGUCUGUCUGUCUGUCUGUCUGUCUGUCUGUCUGCCAGUAUGUCUGUCUGUCUGUCAAUAUGUCAGUCUGCCUGUCAUCUGUCAUCUGUCUGUCUGUCUGUCUGUCUGUCAAUAUGUCCGUCUGUCUGUCUGCUAAUAUGUCUGUCUGUCUGUCUGUCUGCCAGUCUGUCUGUCUGUCUGUCUGUCUGUCUGCCAGUCUGUCUGUCUGUCUGUCUGUCUGUCUGUCUGUCUGUCUGUCUGUCUGCCAGUAUGACUGUCUGUCUGUCAAUAUGUCAGUCUGCCUGUCAUCUGUCUGUCUGUCUGUCUGGCUGUCUGGCUGUCUGUCUGUCUGUCUGCCAAUAUGGCUGUUUGCCUGUCUGUCUAUACGUCUGUCUGGUUAUCAGUCUGUAUGCCAGCCUGUCUGUCUGUCUGUCUGUCAAUAUGUCAGUCUGCCUGUCAUCUGUCUGUCUGUCUGUCUGUCUGUCUGUCUGUCUGUCUGUCAAUAUGUCAGUCUGCCUGUCAUCUGUCUGUCUGUCUGUCUGUCUGUCUGUCUGUCUGUCUGUCUGUCUGUCUGUCUGCCUGUCUGCCUGUCUGUCUGUCUGUCUGUCUGUCUGCCUGUCUGCCUGUCUGCCUGUCUGCCUGUCUGUCUGUCUGCCUGUCUGUCUGUCUGUCUGUCUUCAUUUGAAUACACCAACAUGGCCAGACGAGCCUCAUUAACAUCUCAAAUGGCACCCUAUUCCCUGUAUAGUGCACUACUGUUGACCAGCAUGGCACCCUAUUCCCUGUAUAGUGCACUACUGUUGACCAGCAUGGCACCCUAUUCCCUGUAUAGUGCACUACUGUUGACCAGCAUGGCACCCUAUUCCCUGUAUAGUGCACUACUGUUGACCAGCAUGGCACCCUAUUCCCUGUAUAGUGCACUACUGUUGACCAGCAUGGCACCCUAUUCCC
Molecule: long non-coding RNA, 1548 nt
Filed under: Oncorhynchus mykiss (rainbow trout)
Lineage: Eukaryota; Metazoa; Chordata; Actinopteri; Salmoniformes; Salmonidae
Description: lncRNA (ENSOMYG00000053180.1)
Source: RNAcentral